GACGAACGCUGGCGGCGUGCCUAAUACAUGCAAGUCGAACGGUUUAGUUCCAAGAGGCGUGCCUGUUGGGACUAGGCAGUGGCGGACGGGUGAGUAACACGUAGGCAACCUACCUGUCAAACCGGGAUAACCUCGGGAAACCGAAGCUAAACCCGGAUAAGCUCCUUUUUCGCAUGAAGGGGGAGUGAAAAGGUGCGACCUGACGACAGAUGGGCCUGCGGCGCAUUAGCUAGUAGGUAGGGUAACGGCCUACCUAGGCGAUGAUGCGUAGCCGACCUGAGAGGGCGUACGGCCACACUGGGACUGAGAUACGGCCCAGACUCCUACGGGAGGCAGCAGUAGGGAAUCUUCGGCAAUGGGCGAAAGCCUGACCGAGCAACGCCGCGUGAGUGAGGAAGGCCUUCGGGUUGUAAAACUCUGUUGUUUGGGAAGAAGGGAAAGGGUAGGACCCUUUGGUGACGGUACCAAACGAGAAAGCCCCGGCUAACUACGUGCCAGCCGCCGCCGUAA
This 510-nucleotide ribosomal RNA is filed under the name uncultured bacterium. RNAcentral describes it as "partial 16S ribosomal RNA". It matches the Rfam family "Bacterial small subunit ribosomal RNA", at positions 28 to 523 of the family's 1533-position model. The record is from RNAcentral.